CCUACGGGAGGCAGCAGUGGGGAAUAUUGCGCAAUGGGCGAAAGCCUGACGCAGCGACGCCGCGUGAGGGAUGAAGGUCUUCGGAUCGUAAACCUCUGUUAGCAGGGAAGAACGGUCACUGUGCUAAUCAGCAGUGAAUUGACGGUACCUGCAAAGGAAGCACCGGCUAACGCCGUGCCAGCAGCCGCGGUAAUACGGAGGGUGCGAGCGUUAAUCGGAAUUACUGGGCGUAAAGCGCUCGUAGGCGGUAUGUCAAGUCAAGGGUGAAAUCCCCGCGCUCAACGUGGGAACUGCCUUUGAAACUGGCAGACUGGAGUGUGUGAGAGGAUAGUGGAAUGCCAGGUGUAGGAGUGAAAUCCGUAGAUAUCUGGAAGAACAUCAGUGGCGAAGGCGACUAUCUGGCACAUAACUGACGCUGAGGAGCGAAAGCGUGGGUAGCAAACAGGAUUAGAUACCCGGGUAGUC
This 465-nucleotide ribosomal RNA is filed under the name uncultured bacterium. RNAcentral describes it as "partial 16S ribosomal RNA". It matches the Rfam family "Bacterial small subunit ribosomal RNA", at positions 338 to 795 of the family's 1533-position model. The record is from RNAcentral.